This 504-nucleotide ribosomal RNA is filed under the name Cladosporium cladosporioides. RNAcentral's name for it is "eukaryotic LSU rRNA". The stretch from base 139 to 292 matches the Rfam family "5.8S ribosomal RNA". The record is from RNAcentral. Lineage: Eukaryota; Fungi; Ascomycota; Dothideomycetes; Cladosporiales; Cladosporiaceae.
ACCCCGGGAUGUUCAUAACCCUUUGUUGUCCGACUCUGUUGCCUCCGGGGCGACCCUGCCUUCGGGCGGGGGCUCCGGGUGGACACUUCAAACUCUUGCGUAACUUUGCAGUCUGAGUAAACUUAAUUAAUAAAUUAAAACUUUUAACAACGGAUCUCUUGGUUCUGGCAUCGAUGAAGAACGCAGCGAAAUGCGAUAAGUAAUGUGAAUUGCAGAAUUCAGUGAAUCAUCAAAUCUUUGAACGCACAUUGCGCCCCCUGGUAUUCCGGGGGGCAUGCCUGUUCGAGCGUCAUUUCACCACUCAAGCCUCGCUUGGUAUUGGGCAACGCGGUCCGCCGCGUGCCUCAAAUCGACCGGCUGGGUCUUCUGUCCCCUAAGCGUUGUGGAAACUAUUCGCUAAAGGGUGUUCGGGAGGCUACGCCGUAAAACAACCCCAUUUCUAAGGUUGACCUCGGAUCAGGUAGGGAUACCCGCUGAACUUAAGCAUAUCAAUAAACGGAGGAA